Molecule: long non-coding RNA, 538 nt
Organism: Vidua macroura (Pin-tailed whydah)
Lineage: Eukaryota; Metazoa; Chordata; Aves; Passeriformes; Viduidae
Exons: 4
Source: RefSeq, a predicted model, not a curated record
AGCUUUUGGCAUCUGCUGCUCUGCCUGGUACAGUGCCACAAAAGCCCACAGCUGAUGGCCCCAGGCACACCACAGGAGUGAGGUACUGUGGACAAGGCAUGAAGGAAGAGUGGUGAUGUUAAUUUUCUUAAUAAUCCCACCUGGGACCCUGCCUACUCCCUACGCCCAAAUGGAUCCUAUGCUGCAACUUGGAUGCAACAAAACUUUCUGCUAAUUGACACAUCACCUUCCUCCAGUCUACUGCCUAUUCUAGAAAGAGUGCCGAUAAACUUAGCCUGCCGCCCAAAUGUUGCUCAGUUUAAGCGAGGGAGCUUUGACACUUCAAUCGCAAGAGGGAGCUGUUGGAGCUCAAACUGCUAGAACUGCGCACCUACGUAUUGCCGUUUUAAUCGAUACCGCUCACUUCUAAAUAUUUAAUGAAAUACAUUAACAAUUAUUAGUUUCCACCAUCACGCUCUCUGACUACCACUGACAUGCAUUUUCUGAGAGAAGUAUGAAAACAAUAAUUAAAGUGAAUAAACCUAUACAUUGACAAUAA